This 459-nucleotide ribosomal RNA is filed under the name uncultured bacterium. RNAcentral's name for it is "partial 16S ribosomal RNA". It matches the Rfam family "Bacterial small subunit ribosomal RNA", at positions 339 to 795 of the family's 1533-position model. The record is from RNAcentral.
CUACGGGGUGCAGCAGUGAGGAAUAUUGGUCAAUGGGCGAGGGCCUGAACCAGCCAAGUCGCGUGAAGGAAGAAGGUUCUAUGGAUUGUAAACUUCUUUUGUAAGGGAAUAAAAAGAGUUACGUGUAACUUAUUGUAUGUACUUUACGAAUAAGGAUCGGCUAACUCCGUGCCAGCAGCCGCGGUAAUACGGAGGAUCCAAGCGUUAUCCGGAUUUAUUGGGUUUAAAGGGUGCGUAGGCGGUCGUUUAAGUCAGUGGUGAAAGUUUGCAGCUCAACUGUAAAAUUGCCAUUGAAACUGAAUGACUCGAGUGUAAAUGAGGUAGGCGGAAUGUGUUGUGUAGCGGUGAAAUGCUUAGAUAUAACACAGAACACCAAUUGCGAAGGCAGCUUACUGGGAUACAACUGACGCUGAGGCACGAAAGCGUGGGGAUCAAACAGGAUUAGAUACCCCUGUAGUC